AGCUCGUAGGCGGUUUGUCGCGUCUGCUGUGAAAUCCCGGGGCUCAACCUCGGGCUUGCAGUGGGUACGGGCAGACUAGAGUGCGGUAGGGGAGAUUGGAAUUCCUGGUGUAGCGGUGGAAUGCGCAGAUAUCAGGAGGAACACCGAUGGCGAAGGCAGAUCUCUGGGCCGUAACUGACGCUGAGGAGCGAAAGCAUGGGGAGCGAACAGGAUUAGAUACCCUGGUAGUCCAUGCCGUAAACGUUGGGCGCUAGAUGUAGGGACCUUUCCACGGUUUCUGUGUCGUAGCUAACGCAUUAAGCGCCCCGCCUGGGGAGUACGGCCGCAAGGCUAAAACUCAAAGGAAUUGACGGGGGCCCGCACAAGCGGCGGAGCAUGCGGAUUAAUUCGAUGCAACGCGAAGAACCUUACCAAGGCUUGACAUACACCGGAAACGGCCAGAGAUGGUCGCCCCCUUGUGGUCGGUGUACAGGUGGUGCAUGGUUGUCGUCAGCUCGUGUCGUGAGAUGUUGGGUUAAGUCCCGCAACGAGCGCAACCCUCGUUCUAUGUUGCCAGCGCGUUAUGGCGGGGACUCAUAGGAGACUGCCGGGGUCAACUCGGAGGAAGGUGGGGAUGACGUCAAAUCAUCAUGCCCCUUAUGUCUUGGGCUUCACGCAUGCUACAAUGGCCGGUACAAAGGGCUGCGAUACCGUAAGGUGGAGCGAAUCCCAAAAAGCCGGUCUCAGUUCGGAUUGAGGUCUGCAACUCGACCUCAUGAAGUCNGAGUCGCUAGUAAUCGCAGAUCAGCAACGCUGCGGUGAAUACGUUCCCGGGCCUUGUACACACCGCCCGUCAAGUCAUGAAAGUCGGUAACACCCGAAGCCGGNGGCCUAACCCUUGUGGAAGGGAGCCGUC
This 895-nucleotide ribosomal RNA is filed under the name Curtobacterium sp. 12c-CH10. Its description in RNAcentral is "SSU rRNA". It matches the Rfam family "Bacterial small subunit ribosomal RNA", at positions 566 to 1457 of the family's 1533-position model. Lineage: Bacteria; Bacillati; Actinomycetota; Actinomycetes; Micrococcales; Microbacteriaceae. The record is from RNAcentral.